GACGAACGCUGGCGGCGUGCUUAACACAUGCAAGUCGAACGGAAAGGCCCUGCUUUUGUGGGGUGCUCGAGUGGCGAACGGGUGAGUAACACGUGAGUAACCUGCCCUUGACUUUGGGAUAACUUCAGGAAACUGGGGCUAAUACCGGAUAGGAGCUCCUGCUGCAUGGUGGGGGUUGGAAAGUUUCGGCGGUUGGGGAUGGACUCGCGGCGUAUCAGCUUGUUGGUGGGGUAGUGGCUUACCAAGGCUUUGACGGGUAGCCGGCCUGAGAGGGGGACCGGCCACACGGGAAGGGAGACACGGGCGAGAGGCCUACGGGAGGCAGCAGGAGGGAACCUGGCGAAAGGGGCGAAAGAGGGACGGAGCAACGGCGCGUGAGGGAUGAAGGCCGGCGGAGCGGAAAACGAUGUUAUGAGGGAAGAACAAAUGGGUAAGGAACUAUGCAGGGCUGGACGGUACAUAAUAAGAAAGCCACGGCUAACUACGGG
This 488-nucleotide ribosomal RNA is filed under the name uncultured bacterium. RNAcentral describes it as "partial 16S ribosomal RNA". It matches the Rfam family "Bacterial small subunit ribosomal RNA", at positions 28 to 507 of the family's 1533-position model. The record is from RNAcentral.